Molecule: ribosomal RNA, 503 nt
Filed under: uncultured bacterium
Lineage: Bacteria
Description: partial 16S ribosomal RNA
Rfam family: Bacterial small subunit ribosomal RNA
Source: RNAcentral
AUUGAACGCUGGCGGCAGGCUUAACACAUGCAAGUCGAGCGGGGUGAUGGUGCUUGCACUAUCACCUAGCGGCGGACGGGUGAGUAAUGCUUAGGAAUCUGCCUAUUAGUGGGGGACAACAUCUCGAAAGGGAUGCUAAUACCGCAUACGUCCUACGGGAGAAAGCAGGGGAUCACUUGUGACCUUGCGCUAAUAGAUGAGCCUAAGUCGGAUUAGCUAGUUGGUGGGGUAAAGGCCUACCAAGGCGACGAUCUGUAGCGGGUCUGAGAGGAUGAUCCGCCACACUGGGACUGAGACGCGGCCCAGACUCCUACGGGAGGCAGCAGUGGGGAAUAUUGGACAAUGGGAGGAACCCUGAUCCAGCCAUGCCGCGUGUGUGAAGAAGGCCUUAUGGUUGUAAAGCACUUUAAGCGAGGAGGAGGCUCUUUUGGUUAAUACCCAAGAUGAGUGGACGUUACUCGCAGAAUAAGCACCGGCUAACUCCGUGCCAGCCGCCGCCGCGG